RNAcentral lists this ribosomal RNA (492 nucleotides) under uncultured bacterium. RNAcentral's name for it is "partial 16S ribosomal RNA". It matches the Rfam family "Bacterial small subunit ribosomal RNA", at positions 29 to 507 of the family's 1533-position model. The record is from RNAcentral.
AGUGAACGCUGGCGGUAGGCCUAACACAUGCAAGUCGAACGGCAGCACAGUAAGAGCUUGCUCUUACGGGUGGCGAGUGGCGGACGGGUGAGGAAUACAUCGGAAUCUACUUUUUCGUGGGGGAUAACGUAGGGAAACUUACGCUAAUACCGCAUACGACCUACGGGUGAAAGCAGGGGAUCUUCGGACCUUGCGCGAUUGAAUGAGCCGAUGUUGGAUUAGCUAGUUGGCGGGGUAAAGGCCCACCAAGGCGACGAUCCGUAGCUGGUCUGAGUGGAUGAUCGGCCGCACUGGAGCUGGAACACGGUCCAGGCUCCUACGAGAGGGAGCAGUGGGCAAUGUUGGGCAGUGGGCGCGAACCUGGUCCAGCCAUACCACGUGGGUGGAAGAAGCCUUCGGGUUGUGAAGCCCUUUUGUUGGGAAAAAAAAGCAGCAGGUUGAUACCCCGCUGUUCUGACGGUACCCAAAGAAUAAGCACCGGCUAACUUCGUG